GCAAGUCGAACGGUAACGACCGGUAGCAAUACGUGGGGCGACGGAGUGGCGCGACGGGUGCGUAACGCGUAUGCAACCUGCCCUCAACCGGGACACAACGCCGAGAAAUUGGCGCUAAUAUCCCAUGUGUACAGGAGACGGCAUCGUUUUUCUAUAUAAAGAUUCAUUGGUUGAGGAUGGGCAUGCGUAACAUUAGCUAGUUGGCGGGGUAACGGCUCACCAAGGCGACGAUGUUUAGGGGUUCUGAGAGGAUUCACCCCCACACUGGAACUGAGACACGGUCCAGACUCCUACGGGAGGCAGCAGUAGGGAAUAUUGGGCAAUGGAGGCAACUCUGACCCAGCCAUGCCCGCGUGAAGGAAGACGGCCCUAUGGGUUGUAAACUUCUUUUGCCGCAGAGUAACCGCGGGGACGCGUCCCCGCCUGAGAGUAUGCGGCGAAUAAGUAUCGGCUAACUCCGUGCCAGCCGCCGC
Molecule: ribosomal RNA, 473 nt
Filed under: uncultured bacterium
Lineage: Bacteria
Description: bacterial SSU rRNA
Rfam family: Bacterial small subunit ribosomal RNA
Source: RNAcentral